CAUAGUUCUGCAAAACAAAGGCGAUUGGCUACUUUGGCUUACCGUUGUGUUCUCGAACCUCGCGAAUGUAGUUGUUAGUCCAAUGUAAUAUUUGGUAGGAACAGCGUGAGAUGCAGUGAAACGAGAAAAUAGACAGGACAGAAAACGAAAGAAAUAAAUACAUAUGUUCGUGACGUAACGUGUUCACAUAAAGACAUUGCAAAAGAUAUUUGCACAUACUCUUUUUUUCCAAUGGAAUUCUUUCUAUCAGAUUCUACAUUUCAUUUCCAUAAUUUCAAAUUUUUAUAAGCAUAAAAGAGUUACUACUAAAUCACAAGAAAUUUAAUAUACUUGGACCUAAUUACCUAUUAAUACAUAAACGUUUAUGUACACGUUACAUGCAGAGUUUCAGUCUGCGAAUGGUCAGACGGGAUUUCGUGAGAAUGAGUAAUCCAAACGUUCAAGGAUAGCUGGCUGCUCGAAGUCACGUAGCUAUCGGGUGACACAGGAUCGAAUUUUCGGAAGACGCGUGGGAGAGUUUAGACGUGACAAGUAAUCCGAAUACGUUUACCAAAAAACAGGAAUAUUGUUUCCAGAGAAUCUGACCGCAGCAUGUCGGCUAAAAUACCUUCUGCUGAAUGCAUUGUGAAUGUCUCGUCUACACUCACAGAGCUGUCCAGCUGGACAAAUUGUAAAGUACAAAUUAAAUAAUAAAAAAAAAAAAAAACUCACAGAUACUGUCUGUAGAUAAUAGUCUUCGUGCACUGUACGCUGCCAGUUAUUGGAUCAUGUAUGCAGACUGUUUGCAAACGAUGUCGUUUAUCUACUGCAGUCUAAAGUCUAAUGAGGGUGCCGGCUACUCGUAAUUUUGUAUCAGCCGACCUUUUGCACGACCACAACCGCCCCAGCCCAUAAUUUCGGGUACCCGCAUACCCUUAUAGCCUGUCCAAGGAGACGAGAAAGUGGACAUAAACAAAGUGUAAUACCUGCAGCCACGGCAAUUGCACCUAAUUAGUGUCUCCGGUUAUGCCUUUUUCUUCUCUAUUGUGCGCUUAAGGUCACAUGCACCUUUCGAGAUUAUUAAUGACCACGGUGAGGAUGAUCGGUGGGACAGAGCGUAUCUACGUAUAAUAUGUUGUAUAAAUCAAUAUCUUUCAGGAUAUCUAGAGCUUCCUCGCACGAGUCUUCCUUUUGUAACACAUUGAGCAAAAUUAGUCGGAUCGUGCUAUACUCUUGUAAUAUCGUAUUUAGCACAGAUGAUUAGGAUAUGUCCGAUAGAAUUUAGAAUGCCGCAGGUGUCAGAUAUUUGAUUCAAUUUUGGUGAUAAGGUAAAAAAAUUCCCUACUGAGCCUGCACUAUUUUAAUUAUAUUCUCAAAAACAUGAAUUUGCAUAAAAAUCUGCAAUUAAUAGUUGUCACUAUAGAAACGAUUUUCCUACGGAGAAAAGCCUAGAAGACGGCUUUGGAUUUAAGAAUUUUGUAAGGAUGUCGAAAACUGGUUUUGACAUUUUAUUACGGAAAGUUGGUCCGAAAAUAGAAAGGAACGCGAGAAUUGUUGCCGAACCGGUGGCAAAAGAAAGAAAAUCAAAACAAAGCCUGCCAGCGUGAAGACGAUUAAAUUGAACUGCAUGUUGUCGUUUCCACGUUCUUCCAACAUCUGUUCAUAGUCCUUGUCCCUUAUUUUCUAUCGCAAUGGAAACUUGUAUUUUACCUGCUGUUAUCUCCCGAUUUUUCUCGAACAACGUGCACAGAUUAACUGCGGAAAUAUGUCUAUUGUCUGAUAAUUGUCUAUCAGACAAUUUUGUGUUACUAUGUGUCUAUUUUGUGAUACUAAACACUACUUAGAUCAACGAUUUCCUGCCACAUGGAUAGGCCGUGCUAUGCUUAUUUCCUGACCAGCUUUCCAGACCUGACUCAAUCCGAUCAUUAGUUAUAAAAAUCAAAAACUCCAAGAUCCUUAUACAUCGCGACCUUAAGAUAGCCACAGUUAAAGAAGAAAUAUCCAAGUUCUGAAAGAGAUAUAAUAUAAGAGUUAACAACUACCAAGAGCCAUUAGUUACCCAAUUACUUGACACGACGGACCAGAUCCCAUAGACCAUAAAAAGACAACACCCUUUAGAUUGAAGCAUUAGAUUCAACUAGAAUCAAACAUACUGUAAACUCUUAUAAUCCAAGUUACAGUACCACGCCAAAAUAAUUUACUUAUAAUUCUCAAAGAGAAUUGAUUGUAAAUAGUCUACCAAAUAUAAAAAAGAAAUAGUUAUGAAGACAUUUAAAAUCUCUUGUUCAUAGAAUGUCAAUUGACAAGGUUGAAACUCUUCAUAAAACUCAACAUGACAAGGAGAAUUGGUUGUAAAUAGUCUACCAAAUAUAAAAAAGAAAUAGUUAUGAAGACAUUUAAAAUCUCUUGUUCAUAAAAUGUCAAUUGACAAGGUUGAAACUCUUCAUGAAACUCAACAUGACAAAGAGAAUUGGUUGUAAAUAGUCUACCAAAUAUAAAAAAGAAAUAGUUAUGAAGACAUUUAAAAUCUCUUGUUCAUAGAAUGUCAAUUGACAAGGUUGAAACUCUUCAUGAAACUCGACAUGACAACCAAAUUCGCUAACGUGUCCGUGUAAGCUGUUCGAACAAGUUGGACAAUCUAUGAUGCGAUGCAUUCGCGUCUCUAUCGAAGCUGGACCUGAUCACUUGGAGUAAUUUCUCUGAAGGUAAAAAAGGUGUUACAGUGUUCACAACAUACACAACAUUGUACAACACGAAACAAAAUGCUGAAUCAAAUCCUGCCCAAUGUUCCUACAUGUUCUAGCUCAGCCUGGAUAUGCGGAUAGAGUCGUGUCGGAAUAUUAAAACGCGAGGAACUGUAUAUAAAUAAUUGUUACGUAAACUUUUCUGCAUUAAUAUUACGUAGCUAGAUAUUCCAAAUAUUACGGAGCGUGUAAGAAAAGGAGAAGAACUGAUAAGGAAGUACAGGCUGGCUGUGUAGAACGUCACGUCAGUAGGCAGGCUAAGUAACAAGCCCACUUUAUUACACGGCGCCUUACAUUUAUGUACCUUCUAGAGUUGAAGUAACCACGCAACGCUUUUAGCUGCCUCGUUCGUCCUUCUUCCCUUAUUUUCUUUCGCCCCCGUCUAACUUCCCGCCUGGUUCCACUGGAAUCUUUUUCACUAUUUCGCCUCUAUUACGAUAUCGUGAUGUUGUGCGACUCCCUCAUUAGCAAGGCGUUAGAUGCUCCAAUUACUUAAGAGUUCUCGUUUGGAACUUGGAAAAGUUGCUCGAGACUGCCAAUUUAUUCCAUCUCACGGUUUUGAUAGCGUAUUUCUACGGUUACUCUUUCUCAUUCGCACGUAUCACUGUCUACUUAAAAAAUUAAUUAACCGGGUCUAACACGCGAGAACAGAAGAAGAAAAUUAAUUAAAUCGAUCUGUGAAAUCACAGCCAUUCUAUCUUGAUUUUAAUCUGUCGAAUAGACAUAGUGAUGACCGUAAGGAUAUUCCGUGCUGCUAAUGCAAAUUCGAACGUUUCAAUAUAUGUACGUGUAAAUGUGACGGUAAACCCUGUGUUUGCUAAUGUUUGUUUAUUCGUAUACACAGAGUAUUCGUUUCGCUUAAUAAAUAUUAAUAAUUUUAGACGUACAGUCAACAACUUUGCCCUUUGAUGACAACUUUAUAUAUAUUUCUGGAAUUUGAAUUUAAGGAAAUAAGACAAUACUUCUAGUUCUGAUCGAAUUCUUUGAUUCUUCUUAUUUGACCUUUUCUACAAUAUCGAGAACAAACAACUAUAAUUUUGUAUUUGAUAAAAAUAGGAAACUACACAAGAAGAAACAACGAUGUCAUCCGAAUAAAUCGAUUGAUUAAGGAAAAUAUAGUUUAGAAAUUACUCUAAUGGCUAUUACAAUAUCUUAUUGUUACCUAUUGAAUUGUAAUAUAAAAGAAUAAAUAUUAAACUUGCUUAAUAACGAAUAAAUAGAUAAAUCAUAAUAUAAUUCAUGAUAUAUUUUAUAUGUUAUAUAUACAUAAUAAAUUAUAAUCUGUUCCGGAUAUCAUGUGAUCACAUUCACGGUUCAUUAAAUUUUCUACAUAAUCUUGUUUGUUACAAACUAAUUUCAUAAUAUUCGCGGGAAAUUGCCAACAUCCAUGCAAU
Molecule: long non-coding RNA, 4117 nt
Organism: Bombus terrestris (buff-tailed bumblebee)
Lineage: Eukaryota; Metazoa; Arthropoda; Insecta; Hymenoptera; Apidae
Exons: 4
Source: RefSeq, a predicted model, not a curated record